Molecule: ribosomal RNA, 534 nt
Filed under: uncultured bacterium
Lineage: Bacteria
Description: partial 16S ribosomal RNA
Rfam family: Bacterial small subunit ribosomal RNA
Source: RNAcentral
UGGGGAAUUUUGGACAAUGGGCGAAAGCCUGAUCCAGCAAUGCCGCGUGUGUGAAGAAGGCCUUCGGGUUGUAAAGCACUUUUGUCCGGAAAGAAAUCCUUGGCUCUAAUACAGUCGGGGGAUGACGGUACCGGAAGAAUAAGCACCGGCUAACUACGUGCCAGCAGCCGCGGUAAUACGUAGGGUGCAAGCGUUAAUCGGAAUUACUGGGCGUAAAGCGUGCGCAGGCGGUUUGCUAAGACCGAUGUGAAAUCCCCGGGCUCAACCUGGGAACUGCAUUGGUGACUGGCAGGCUAGAGUAUGGCAGAGGGGGGUAGAAUUCCACGUGUAGCAGUGAAAUGCGUAGAGAUGUGGAGGAAUACCGAUGGCGAAGGCAGCCCCCUGGGCCAAUACUGACGCUCAUGCACGAAAGCGUGGGGAGCAAACAGGAUUAGAUACCCUGGUAGUCCACGCCCUAAACGAUGUCAACUAGUUGUUGGGGAUUCAUUUCCUUAGUAACGUAGCUAACGCGUGAAGUUGACCGCCUGGGGAGUA